Molecule: long non-coding RNA, 632 nt
Organism: Ananas comosus (pineapple)
Lineage: Eukaryota; Viridiplantae; Streptophyta; Magnoliopsida; Poales; Bromeliaceae
Exons: 5
Source: RefSeq, a predicted model, not a curated record
AGAGUUUUCUCUCUCUAAGAUGAAAGCAAGGAAUUGAGCUUGUUUCUCUUUGCUCUAUGAGGGUUGCUGUAGAAGGGGGCCUGAAUCAGCUGUGAAGGAGUAAAAAUGAGGCUUAGGGAGAGGUAUUUCAUGACCCUAGCUCUGUAAGAAGCUGGGUUGAGGUUUGAGGGGGUUUGGGAAAUAGUCUCAACAGCUAGAGAGGGGUAAUUUUGCCGUAAUUCCUCUAUUUAUACCUAGGGAAAAACUAAAGUGAAGCUGUGAGAAGCAGGUUAGUGACUUUUGAAGCAGAAUUGGGAGGUGAUUCUUCAACCCUGAGCUAAGGAAAAACUGAAAUUGAAAUUUGGAAAAGCAGCCUUGGAAUUCCUUUUGAGCUGAAUGUUGGGACUUUUGUGAGCUGGUUUUGAGGUGUUUCAACCAGGGGUUGAACUGAACCAAAUCGGUUAGAAGCAGGUUCGCAGUGAACCAUUUGAUCUUAUUUGACUAAGUUUUGGAAGCUUUCGAAGGCUGAAUUUGAUACUCCAAUCUGAACCAAAACGAGAAAUUAAGCAUUGAUACUGUGCUAAAGGCUUCGGAUUACCUUCAUUGGCAGAAUCGACGUGAGCUUCGAUAAUUAGGUGGGUCGGACCUUCCCG